RNAcentral lists this ribosomal RNA (497 nucleotides) under uncultured bacterium. RNAcentral describes it as "partial 16S ribosomal RNA". It matches the Rfam family "Bacterial small subunit ribosomal RNA", at positions 28 to 507 of the family's 1533-position model. The record is from RNAcentral.
GACGAACGCUGGCGGCGUGCCUAAUACAUGCAAGUCGAGCGAACAGAUGAGGAGCUUGCUCCUCUGACGUUAGCGGCGGACGGGUGAGUAACAUGUGGAUAACCUACCUAUAAGACUGGGAUAACUUCGGGAAACCGGAGCUAAUACCGGAUAAUAUAUUGAACCGCAUGGUUCAAUAGUGAAAGACGGUUUUGCUGUAACUUAUAGAUGGAUCCGCGCCGCAUUAGUUAGUUGGUAAGGUAACGGCUUAUCAAGGCGACGAUGCGUAGCCGACCUGCGAGGGUGGUCGGCGACACUGGAGCUGGAACACGGACCAUGCUCCUGCGGGAGGGAGCAGUAGGGAAUCUUCCGCAAUGGUCGGGAGCCUGGCGGAGCAACGCCGCGUGAGUUAUGAAGAUCUUCGGAUCGUAAAACUCUGUUAUUAGGGGAGAACAAAUGUGUAAGUAACUAUGCACGUCUUGACGGUACCUAGUCAGAAAGCCACGGCUAACUACGUG